GUUUCUAUCUAUAAAGUGCUUUCUUCCAGUACGAAAGGACCGAAGAAAAGAGGCCCAUGCUUAAAGUAAGCCUCACCCCCACCUAAUGAAAACAACUUAAUUAGGCAAAAGGAGCCUCCCCCUGCCAGAGAUAAUAGCU
Molecule: ribosomal RNA, 139 nt
Filed under: Xiphophorus clemenciae (yellow swordtail)
Lineage: Eukaryota; Metazoa; Chordata; Actinopteri; Cyprinodontiformes; Poeciliidae
Description: partial 16S ribosomal RNA
Source: RNAcentral